UUCGUGGAAAGGUAGGGCUCCUACCAUUGGACUCAGCUCAACCAGCGCCAAGUGAUCACUUCCAUUGUGCUUAGCACUCCUAGAAGCAGCGGAAGAAAUCAACGUGAAGAUGACCUAGGUCUUCCUGAAGCAAGGAUUCAAGGUAAAUUUUCUAUCGCAGCAGCAUCCCUGGGACACCACUCACGGCGCCCAGCAUGCCCUGGAGCAGCUCAGCUGUGCUCCGGUGCUGUGAGCUUCCGCGAGUUUUCCAGCCUGAAGCCCGGCAACCCCAGCCCGGCACGGGUCUGCUUGCUGGGGUCUGCUAUGCUUCCCCAUGGAGAGCAGGGAUGGAGGACGACCGUGCAACCUGGAGAGUCCUAUAGGGUUUGCAGCCAAAUCACACCAGACACUCUGGCUCUGGGACUCAGGAAAAUGAUGGAGUGUGUUGACUUGAGUUUUCU
Odocoileus virginianus texanus is the source of this 440-nucleotide long non-coding RNA. RefSeq lists it as uncharacterized. The record is from RefSeq and is a predicted model, not a curated record. Lineage: Eukaryota; Metazoa; Chordata; Mammalia; Artiodactyla; Cervidae.